CCUAGGGGUGGCAGCAGUGGGGAAUAUUGGACAAUGGGCGAAAGCCUGAUCCAGCCAUGCCGCGUGUGUGAAGAAGGCCUUCGGGUUGUAAAGCACUUUCAGUGGGGAAGAAAGCCUUGGGGCUAAUACCCUCGAGGAAGGACAUCACCCACAGAAGAAGCACCGGCUAACUCCGUGCCAGCAGCCGCGGUAAUACGGAGGGUGCGAGCGUUAAUCGGAAUUACUGGGCGUAAAGCGCGCGUAGGCGGUCUGAUAAGCCGGUUGUGAAAGCCCCGGGCUCAACCUGGGAACGGCAUCCGGAACUGUCAGGCUAGAGUGCAGGAGAGGAAGGUAGAAUUCCCGGUGUAGCGGUGAAAUGCGUAGAGAUCGGGAGGAAUACCAGUGGCGAAGGCGGUCUUCUGGACUGACACUGACGCUGAGGUGCGAAAGCGUGGGUAGCAAACAGGAUUAGAUGCCCUUGUAGUC
This 465-nucleotide ribosomal RNA is filed under the name Vreelandella stevensii. RNAcentral describes it as "partial 16S ribosomal RNA". It matches the Rfam family "Bacterial small subunit ribosomal RNA", at positions 338 to 795 of the family's 1533-position model. Lineage: Bacteria; Pseudomonadati; Pseudomonadota; Gammaproteobacteria; Oceanospirillales; Halomonadaceae. The record is from RNAcentral.